CAGGCGCCAGAGGAUGUGGCUGCGGCCGAUUAGGUAGACGGUGGGGUAACGGCCCACCGUGCCAGUAAUCGGUACGGGUUGUGAGAGCAAGAGCCCGGAGACGGUAUCUGAGACAAGAUACCGGGCCCUACGGGGCGCAGCAGGCGCGAAACCUUUACACUGCACGCGAGUGCGAUAAGGGGACUCCAAGUGCGAGGGCAUAUAGUCCUCGCUUUUCACCACCGUAAGGUGGUAGUGGAAUAAGUGCUGGGCAAGACCGGUGCCAGCCGCCGCGGUAAUACCGGCAGCACGAGUGAUGACCGCUAUUAUUGGGCCUAAAGCGUCCGUAGCUGGCCAGGCAAGUCCAUCGGGAAAUCCGCGUGCUUAACGCGCGGGCGUCCGGUGGAAACUGCGUGGCUUGGGACCGGAAGACCAGAGGGGUACGUCUGGGGUAGGAGUGAAAUCCCGUAAUCCUGGACGGACCACCGGUGGCGAAAGCGCCUCUGGAAGACGGAUCCGACGGUGAGGGACGAAAGCUCGGGUCACGAACCGGAUUAGAUACCCGGGUAGUCCGAGCUGUAAACGAUGUCUGCUAGGUGUGCCACAGGCUACGAGCCUGUGGUGUGCCGUAGGGAAGCCGUGAAGCAGACCGCCUGGGAAGUACGUCCGCAAGGAUGAAACUAA
Molecule: ribosomal RNA, 663 nt
Filed under: Natronolimnobius sp. 30P21
Lineage: Archaea; Methanobacteriati; Methanobacteriota; Halobacteria; Halobacteriales; Natrialbaceae
Description: bacterial SSU rRNA
Rfam family: Archaeal small subunit ribosomal RNA
Source: RNAcentral